GUCAGAAUUUCCGGGGGCGGAGCGAGCCCAACGGGUAAGAAGCCGUUAUGUGAAGGGGCAGACGGCAAGCUGAGGUACAACAGGAAGAACUGGAAAUUCAGAGAAAGAAGCAGCACUUCCAUCUACAAAAGCUGAGUUUACUUUUCCUCCUUCUUUGUUCUUCAAGACUGGACUCCCACCAAGCAGAGCUCCCGACAGGAGACGGGGCAGGACCUGGACGAUGAGGGCCUCCGCGCUCCCUCCGUGAAAGACAGGAAGGUGCCCCGCACUGGCAACAGAGUCCAGCGCUGGCUCAGGGAUAAAAACGGCUCAGCCACAGAGAGGAAUGAGACCCGCGUGCUCUGGACCAACCAGGCUGACCUGCUGGAGAUGCCAAUACCACCUGGUGCCCGCCUUCGUAGGCAGAGACCUCAGCCACAUCUCCACAUUCCUAGAUAUGGGGGCAUUCCCUCUACUUCGGAUGAGCUCGGCGGAGGCCUGGAGCAGCGGAACAUGGCCAUCUCCUCCAUCCUGGGCACAUGGCUGGACCAAUAUCGCCAGGAUUUUUUCCAGCCCCCAGACUUUCCCUGCCUGAACGUGCUGCUCAAGUACAUGGGCCUCCAUAUGCCAGGCUCGGACCUGGAACGCCGUGCCCAGCGUCUGCUGUCACAGCUGCAAAGCCUGGAGCCCCCGGAGCCAGAGGCUGGGGGUGAGGAGGGCCGGGGGUGCCUGGCGAGGGCCCGUGGAGGGGACCGGGCGGGCCACGCAGAGCAAGCCUCCAUAGAGUGCGGUUGGGCCGGGAGCAGUGCAUAGUCCCAGAUCCCUGUCCGCAUGGCCUGCUGUCCGGGGAGACCUCCCAGGGAUCGGAUCCUGGACUCAGACAGCACUGAGCGGGGCGAAAAGUUUCCUUCACUUAGGAGGGACGUGGGAAGCCCAUCAGGCCGACGAUACUUUCUCUUCUUGGAGCUAUAGCACCAGCCCCGGAGCGAGAUCCGGAAGGAGCGCAAGAACUGCGCCCAGCUCCCGCUGUGGCCCCUGCUGUCGCCUCAGAGCCCCCGCGGGCCGAGCCCGUCCCUGCUGCGGGGGCUCAGCCACUAGGGAGAGCAGGGGCUCAGGUGCUAGUCAGAGCGCUCGUUCACGCUCCUCCGCUGGAAGAGCCACCCGCACCGAUGCCCGACGCGGAGGUCGAGCAGGGUCCAGGCCCUGGUCCUGGGGUCGCCGCCGGGCCCGAGCAGCCCCCUGCCCCAGUGGAGCAACCAGCCCCGGCCCCGAGCAGCAGCUCGUGCUGGCUACAGCCCCGAAGGACGGCUUCCCCUCCCCUGGCAUUGCAUUCUUUGUAGUGUUUCUGGUCUGUAUGCACCUGUAUAAUGGCUUCCUGUACUUUGUUCGUUAAAUAAAGUAGAA
Molecule: RNA transcript, 1383 nt
Organism: Mirounga angustirostris (Northern elephant seal)
Lineage: Eukaryota; Metazoa; Chordata; Mammalia; Carnivora; Phocidae
Gene name: ral guanine nucleotide dissociation stimulator-like
Exons: 6
Source: RefSeq, a predicted model, not a curated record